UACGAAGGUCCCAAGCGUUGUUCGGAAUCACUGGGCGUAAAGGGUGCGUAGGCGGUUUGGUAAGUCAGAUGUGAAAUCCCGGGGCUCAACCCCGGAACUGCAUCCGAUACUGCCAGACUAGAGGACUGGAGAGGUGACUGGAAUUUUCGGUGUAGCAGUGAAAUGCGUAGAGAUCGAGAGGAACAUUCGUGGCGAAGGCGAGUCACUGGACAGUAUCUGACGCUGAGGCACGAAGGCCAGGGUAGCGAAAGGG
This 253-nucleotide ribosomal RNA is filed under the name uncultured bacterium. Its description in RNAcentral is "partial 16S ribosomal RNA". It matches the Rfam family "Bacterial small subunit ribosomal RNA", at positions 524 to 776 of the family's 1533-position model. The record is from RNAcentral.